AAACUGGGAUUAGAUACCCCNCUAUUAAANUAAAAANUAAAANGAAGUANUAAAAUCAANUGAUUAAAANUUAAAGAAUAUGGNGGCAGUUAUAAANUUUAGGGGAAUUUACACAAUAAUUGACAACCCUCAAGAUGUCCCACAUAUUUUUAUAGUUUGUAUACCGCCGUCUUCAGGUACAAUUUUAGAUUGUACUAACAACUUUCUGGGCAAGACAGGUCAUGGUGCAGCCAAUAAAUAUGCUUGCUGCGAGUUACAAUAAUUUUUUUUUUCGGAUAAAUUCUUAAAUUAUGAAAAGAAGCUGGACUUAAUAGUAAAAUAUAAUAAUAAGUACUCUUUGAAAUUUUUUUUAGCUGUGCACACACGCCGUCACCCUC
RNAcentral lists this ribosomal RNA (377 nucleotides) under Zospeum frauenfeldii. RNAcentral describes it as "partial 12S ribosomal RNA". Lineage: Eukaryota; Metazoa; Mollusca; Gastropoda; Ellobiida; Ellobiidae. The record is from RNAcentral.